AGCCCCCUAGUGUAGCGGUAAUCAUGUAGGGCCCUGGACCCUGCGACUGCGGUUCGAAUCCGCAGGGGGCUACCA
RNAcentral lists this transfer RNA (75 nucleotides) under Candidatus Nanohalarchaeota archaeon. RNAcentral describes it as "Candidatus Nanohaloarchaeota archaeon tRNA-Gln". It matches the Rfam family "tRNA". Rfam says of the family: Transfer RNA (tRNA) molecules are approximately 80 nucleotides in length. Their secondary structure includes four short double-helical elements and three loops (D, anti-codon, and T loops). Further hydrogen bonds mediate the characteristic L-shaped molecular structure. tRNAs have two regions of fundamental functional importance: the anti-codon, which is responsible for specific mRNA codon recognition, and the 3' end, to which the tRNAs corresponding amino acid is attached (by aminoacyl-tRNA synthetases). tRNAs cope with the degeneracy of the genetic code in two manners: having more than one tRNA (with a specific anti-codon) for a particular amino acid; and 'wobble' base-pairing, i.e. permitting non-standard base-pairing at the 3rd anti-codon position. The record is from RNAcentral. Lineage: Archaea; Nanobdellati; Candidatus Nanohalarchaeota. RNAcentral also lists the same sequence under 1 other name.